CCAUGCCGCGUGUGUGAAGAAGGCUUCGGGUUGUAAAGCACUUUCAGCGAGGAGGAAAGGUUGGCAGCUAAUAUCUGUCAGCUGUGACGUUACUCGCAGAAGAAGCACCGGCUAACUCCGUGCCAGCAGCCGCGGUAAUACGGAGGGUGCAAGCGUUAAUCGGAAUUACUGGGCGUAAAGCGCACGCAGGCGGUUGGAUAAGUUAGAUGUGAAAGCCCCGGGCUCAACCUGGGAAUUGCAUUUAAAACUGUUCAGCUAGAGUCUUGUAGAGGGGGGUAGAAUUCCAGGUGUAGCGGUGAAAUGCGUAGAGAUCUGGAGGAAUACCGGUGGCGAAGGCGGCCCCCUGGACAAAGACUGACGCUCAGGUGCGAAAGCGUGGGGACAAACAGGAUUAGAUCCCUGGUAGUCCACCCGUAAACGAUGUCGAUUUGGANGCUGUGUCCUUGAGACGUGCUUCCGGA
This 461-nucleotide ribosomal RNA is filed under the name uncultured bacterium. RNAcentral describes it as "bacterial SSU rRNA". It matches the Rfam family "Bacterial small subunit ribosomal RNA", at positions 392 to 850 of the family's 1533-position model. The record is from RNAcentral.